Molecule: long non-coding RNA, 1641 nt
Organism: Dromaius novaehollandiae (emu)
Lineage: Eukaryota; Metazoa; Chordata; Aves; Casuariiformes; Dromaiidae
Exons: 3
Source: RefSeq, a predicted model, not a curated record
GCCGCGGGCCCUCCCCGCCGGGGGACGGCGCUUUCCCGACACCGGCGCGGCCCGGUCUCGCCUGCCCGCGCCGGGGCACCGGCGCUUCCCGCUCCCCUCGCAGCCCGCCGGCGUCCGCGGACGCGGAGCUGCCUGCCGGCGCCCCCAUGAGUAGCCCCGCGGGCAGCCCCGCGAAUCCCACGGGAAGGGCGCCGGUGGAGGCCUGCUCGUUGUGCUCCUUCAAGGACGGCUUGAGGGCUUGGAGUCUGCCGUCAUUUUCUUCCGUAUUUACCCUUUUUUUUUUUCACCCACGUCUAACUUGUCUGGAAACUUCGGGUUUUGCCCCCAGAAUUUUAUAUGCAGUCAAGUGAGCAAAGCUGGGUGCCAGCAGGCUCCGUUUUGCUGGGUUUGUUUUUGUGCGUUGUUAGGGACUAGGUCAGCGGGCUGUGGCAAAAGAAAAACAUCCAGUGACAGAAGUACCUGGUGCCGAUGCAGGUGCCACGUUCAAACUACUACUUCCAGAAAGCUCAGAGCUCUGAAGACAGUGCAGGCAGUGGCCCCAGACCAGCCAGAGCCCCAAAUUCAUUCCCUUGGGGUGAAGGCACCCGCCAUCUUAGAGGUAUCUGCCAUCUUGGGGUACCCGCCAUCUUAGAGGUAUCUGCCAUCUUGGACUUACCGCCAUCUUAGAGGGAAAAGCGGAAAGAGCUGUGUAGCAGUGAAGCCUUGAAGCAUGGAAUUGGUUGGGCUCUGCAUACGCACUUCAGGAAACCUGCACAAGAACAGCCAGGUCAAGGUCUUCAGAACUUCUGCUUUCAUUGGCUGUACAGAGGAGAUCUUGAAUUAUACCCUGCUUGGAUACCAGUCACCUUGUGCCACUGAAAUCAAUGGGAGUUUUGCCCAUAAGAGCCCAAGUUGCUGAAUGCUGAAGAGACUGCCAGCAGAUAUUUCCAUGUAAUUCAUUUUCUUUUACCCUUUUAUUGAAACUCCCAGCGUGAUGCAAAAGAUCAAGUAAUGGCUGUCUCAGAUUAUUCUAUUCUCCUGUGGAAAUUGCACUUACCUUCUGUGUAAAGAUAUCUCCACAGGCAGGCCCUCCAGGAAAUAGACGGAAGAUUUCAUGUGCUGUUUUUUCAGAUUACCCAGGAUUUAAUUAUUUUGGAUGAAUUUAGAUUUCAAUUUCUCCCUGUGUUGUUAUGCUCAUAUGGAGCUCUUUCGAAGAUACAGACAGACACAACAGCUGCUAACCCAGCUCAUUUCCAAAGAAGUGUUACCAACUAAGGCAUGUUGGUCUAGUAUUUUGGAGGAUUUUUUUGAAUUAUUAUUUUUGUAUGUCUUCUGAAUUAAGAUGUUUUGCUGUAUCCAGUUUUAUAUAAAUGGCUCAUAUUCUCUGAUACUCUGUUUCAUAUCUGACAAACAAUCAUGAUUAUAUGUUAAAUCAACAUUAAAAAUGUAUAGUUCAGUGUAAUUCACAGCUGAAGGUAGCAUUAGAAUACAGUGUACACGUGUAUUUUUAUUAUUAUUUACUCACAGAAAAUUGCGGUUUUAUGGAGGAGAAAACUGUCAAUAUAUUUGUGUCAAAAACUUGUGGCAAGUAAGAAUAUAUAUUGAAGGAACUGAUAUAUUUUGUUUCAGCUCUUUCAAAAUGAAACCCUUUAAUUUUUUUAA